AGUGAACGCUGGCGGUAGGCCUAACACAUGCAAGUCGAACGGCAGCACAGUAAGAGCUUGCUCUUACGGGUGGCGAGUGGCGGACGGGUGAGGAAUACAUCGGAAUCUACUUUUUCGUGGGGGAUAACGUAGGGAAACUUACGCUAAUACCGCAUACGACCUACGGGUGAAAGCAGGGGAUCUUCGACCUUGCGCGAUUGAAUGAGCCGAUGUCGGAUUAGCUAGUUGGCGGGGUAAAGGCCCACCAAGGCGACGAUCCGUAGCUGGUCUGAGAGGAUGAUCAGCCACACUGGAACUGAGAAACGGUCCAGACUCCUACGGGAGGCAGCAGUGGGGAAUAUUGGACAAUGGGCGCAAGCCUGAUCCAGCCAUACCGCGUGGGUGAAGAAGGCCUUCGGGUUGUAAAGCCCUUUUGUUGGGAAAGAAAAGCAGCAGGUUAAUACCCCGCUGUUCUGACGGUACCCAAAGAAUAAGCACCGGCUAACUUCGUG
This 491-nucleotide ribosomal RNA is filed under the name uncultured bacterium. RNAcentral describes it as "partial 16S ribosomal RNA". It matches the Rfam family "Bacterial small subunit ribosomal RNA", at positions 29 to 507 of the family's 1533-position model. The record is from RNAcentral.